AACGAACGCUGGCGGCAUGCCUAACACAUGCAAGUCGAACGAGACCUUCGGGUCUAGUGGCGCACGGGUGCGUAACGCGUGGGAACCUGCCCUUAGGUUCGGAAUAACUCCCCGAAAGGGGUGCUAAUACCGGAUAAUGUCUUCGGACCAAAGAUCUAUCGCCUUUGGAUGGGCCCGCGUUGGAUUAGCUAGUUGGUAGGGUAAAAGCCUACCAAGGCGACGUUCCAUAGCUGGUCUGAGAGGAUGAUCAGCCACACUGGGACUGCGACACGGCCCAGACUCCUACGGGAGGCAGCAGUAGGGAGUAUUGGACAAUGAGCGAAAGCCUGAUCCAGCAGUGCCGCGUGAGUGAUGAAGGCCUUAGGGUUGUAAAUCUCUUUUACCCGGGAUGAUAAUGACAGUACCGGGAGAAUAAGCUCCGGCUAACUCCGUG
Molecule: ribosomal RNA, 433 nt
Filed under: uncultured bacterium
Lineage: Bacteria
Description: partial 16S ribosomal RNA
Rfam family: Bacterial small subunit ribosomal RNA
Source: RNAcentral